UACGUAGGGUGCAAGCGUUACUCGGAAUUACUGGGCGUAAAGCGUGCGCAGGCGGCUUUGCAAGACAGAUGUGAAAUCCCCGGGCUUAACCUGGGAACUGCAUUUGUGACUGCAUGGCUGGAGUGCGGCAGAGGGGGAUGGAAUUCCGCGUGUAGCAGUGAAAUGCGUAGAGAUCAGGAGGAACACCCGGGGCGAAGGCGGCCCUCUGGCUCGACCCUGACGCUGAGGCGCGAAAGCGUGGGGAGCGAACGGG
This 253-nucleotide ribosomal RNA is filed under the name uncultured bacterium. RNAcentral describes it as "partial 16S ribosomal RNA". It matches the Rfam family "Bacterial small subunit ribosomal RNA", at positions 524 to 776 of the family's 1533-position model. The record is from RNAcentral.